RNAcentral lists this microRNA precursor (74 nucleotides) under Mucilaginibacter sp. SG538B. RNAcentral's name for it is "mir-26 microRNA precursor family". It matches the Rfam family "mir-26 microRNA precursor family". Rfam says of the family: The hairpin precursors (represented here) are predicted based on base pairing and cross-species conservation -- their extents are not known. The record is from RNAcentral. Lineage: Bacteria; Pseudomonadati; Bacteroidota; Sphingobacteriia; Sphingobacteriales; Sphingobacteriaceae.
UUGAUAAAUUCAUAUAAAACAAGAAAGGCCUUUCAGUAGUUGAAAGACCUUUCUUGUUUUAUAUGCUUGGGAGG